UCGACAUAUCAGGCAAGGCAGAGAGUUGACAAAACAUCUCCACUACUUGAUCGCUUGACAAUAUUGAAGUGGAUUUUAACUCUGGAACUUUGAAGCGUUUGAAAUCGGCCAAGUUUUUGCUUUCAUGAUCGCUUUUCGGACUCAGGUUUUCUUUGCUCUCCAUUUUCAUUCAGUUUUAAUGUCACACGGGAAGAUUCGAUCGAAUGUAUCUUUUGUUUACUUCGAGUGUCUUCGUUCGCUUUGAAUCCUAGCAUCGCACAAUUAAAUGAUUAUUCCGUUUAUUGCUAUUUCUCUUAAUGAAACAUCCUCAUCUUUAGCCUAAACGUUUAUUUAUACGUGUGUCAAAAAUAAAGCUAAUAGUAGUAAAAAAAAAAGGAUGAAAAAAUGUUCUUGAGUAUAGGCCAAAUACUCGCUUUUUAGUCGAGCUAGCCGAAGGCGGUCCGACAUUGGUUCUAGCAUUCGUUCAAUGUAUCUGUAUCUGGCAACGUCGCGUUUAGUCCCCCAUAAUGCUUUACGGACGGAACCAUGUGACGUCAUAGAUAUCACGUGGUCUGAUAACACAGGAAGCCCAAAGUUCACAUUACGUCAUUAAUAUCACGUUAUCAGACAAAAGUCACAUGUAUCCAUCAUGCCUUACGCUAGCUGUCAGUCUGACGAUCGAACUAUAAGUGAUAAGAAGAAAAGACUGCAUUUGGAGUGAUUUGCUGUUUGAAUACUUUACAAACAUGCUGGGGAAAUUACCUACCAAGACGCUCAAACCUCACAGUCUACGGAACAGAUGCUCAUUUGCAUAAGCCACUGCCCGGCGUCCUCGAUUCCAUGCGACGCCAUUUUAAGUCAUCGUUUCACAGGGAUGAGAUGACUUAUCAAGCUUUCUACCUAGCUCAAUGAUAAUAAACCCAAGAAACGCACUAAAAAUAUUGAUAUGGUGGAAAAGAGCUUCUGAGGAGAAAUGCGACCGAACAGUGCAUUUGGGGAUUUGAGUUAGAAGUCUGUUUUACUCAAAGUUUUCAAGCUGAUCGCCAAACUUCGUAAAUCAUUCACAUUAACAUGAUCAUUUCUUAGAAAUCUUGAAGAUCGGACGUAUUUCCUUCACUAAAAUUUAUCGCAUUAUUGUUCACAACUACACACAGCAAUUUCAAUGGCGCAUUACGACUUUCUAGUCGUUUAAAGCUUCUAUUUAAAAUUAUAAAAUUAAUUGUCAUUGAUGACCUCGGGGUUUACCUUUGAUCUAGCAUACGGUUGAUGUAACAAAGGCUGUCUGAUUUGCAACCAUAGCUAAAAAUGGGUCUUCUACCUUUUUUUUACUAACCUUUUUGGAGCACUGCAACAUGCACUGUGUGGUUUAAAUUAGUUUUGAAACAGAGGACUCUCGAUUUUAACCGCUUUAACCUAAAAAAUUGGGGACUAUCGGUCAAAUGACAGUUUGAUGACUCUUGUCAUAGAGAACCUAUUUUGCAAGUAUUUUUUUUUUUGGUUAAUAUCAAUCAUUGGUCAUAUGUUUACAUUUUGACUCGAUUGAAUCGCUUAAAAGCUGGUAAAACAACUUUCAUAAAUGAAACAGUCUACACUAUCAUAUAAAUGGCGUUUUCCUUCUUCAGGCGGAGUACCAAAAGUAAUGUUUCUAGCUUCAAAGAGGCUUUAGAGGUAUCUUUCGCUGAUUUUCUACCCUCUUUCUUGGUGUCUUACCCCCAUGAUAAGGCGAAGAGGAAAUUUACAAUAAAAAUCAAGCUCGACUAAUUAGCUUAAAAUCUCUAGGACGUAAAUAAAAAUUAUAUUUUGAGCGUU
Nematostella vectensis (starlet sea anemone) is the source of this 1788-nucleotide long non-coding RNA. RefSeq lists it as uncharacterized. NCBI's taxonomy places the organism in Eukaryota, Metazoa, Cnidaria, Anthozoa, Actiniaria, Edwardsiidae. The transcript is spliced from 2 exons. The record is from RefSeq and is a predicted model, not a curated record.